AUUCAUGCAUUAAGCGAUUAUCCGUAAAAUAGGUUCAGCUAAACUGAGAAUGAAAGAGUAUAUACAUAUUCCGUAUUCGAAUUGGCAAAAAUGGAACAAUCCAAACACGAUCUGACACAAAUUGCAAAACUGAAGAUGCAACAAAGUCAUGUAAACGGUUAUGGAAGAAGAAGAAGAGUACAAUUGGAGAGAAGUGAAGUUUCCUGUCAUCAUACCCCUAGUGCCGGAGCCGGAACUCGAAAGAGAAACCGGCUGAACAACGACGUGACCGAGAUAUACUCAUUACAAUAGAUUCACGGUCUUAACAGCAAACACGCUUUUGAUUGGGCUCACCUUUGCCGUCUCGUCGAUACACUUCAUCUCGUUCGCGCCGUCUUCUGUUAUAUCCACAUCCUUAAUUUCCCUUUGAACCAGUAUUCUACAGCUCAAAUUGUUCUAAUUUUUUUAGGUCUGAGAAAUGAGAUUGUCUAUGAGAGUACACAGGCACUCAUGGAGAAGCUUGCUGUCGAAGCUUUAGAGGUUGCUCUGGUGAAGACAGUGGCCAGGAUUGUGGAAGGAGAUGACGGAAAGGUUAUUUACAAGGAAGCAGAAAGGUUGAAGCCUUCAGAUGUGGUAGAACCAGGGGACGUAGCUUAAUCCAAAGGUCUCUCGCUCUCUCUCCCCAGUGUAUGCAAGCGUGAUCAUAGUGUAAUGCAAGGAAGUGUCGAGGCUGGGGAAGAAUCUGUGAUUUAAUGGGACUUGCAAAGUUUGAGAAACUUAUCUGAAGUGGUGCCCAUCCAAGGAAUGCUACUUGGUGUGAGACAGUGGAAACAGCUGUAUUACUGGUGGCAGGUUCUUCCUUUAAAUGCCUAUGCUUAUAUUAUGUUUUCAUUGAUGUAAAGUAUUUUUAUCUUGUUUUAAAUUGUGUCUAUUUUAUGUAUUCAGUAUUUAAGUUUGUUUGUACAUAAUACCAAUUUAUAUUGUGAAUAGUUGCUGAACGCAGUGAAAAAACUCAUCCAUUUACACAUUGAACAUUGUUCCUAAGAGAUAGAAGGCAUACCAUUUGUGCUGAUUUACUUUAACAAUUUCUGUCACAAAGAUGUAAUGCAUCACUUCUUGCCGCAAGAAUCAUAUAAGCAGGAAAACAUAAAAUAAGAUCUAUUUGUCUAGCUCAAUCAGAAGGAACCUGAAUUAAAUAGAGUAAUUGAAGGGGAGCCUUGGACCAACAGUAAAGUUAUCUUCGUGUGACCUAUAGGUCACGGGUUUGAGCCGUGCAAUCAAGCACUGACGAUUGCAUUAGGGUAGACUGGCUACAUCACAGUCCCUUAGGGUGCGGCCUUUCCCUACACCUGCAUGAACGCGAGAUGCUUCGUGUACCAGGCUAUUGAACGUAGAGAUGCAAGUUCUUCAGUUGUCCAUGGAUUCUAGAGGAAUUCUUUAAGAAAUUGAGAGCUUGGGAAAGGUCAUAAACAUAAAGUGCUAUGUAGAAAUGUUGGCUCAAGGUUGCUGUACUACACACCACAUAUUUCGACAACCUUCUUGGAUUUUUAGGAAACAAUAAUUACGAAGAUUUUGAUUAAUAUUGAAGGAAUUGCUUUGUAACCUUAGUGGGUCCAGAAAGACAACAAGCAAAACCAUCUUUCAGCAUCUAUUCCGACAAGAAGAAUCCUGUAGGUUUUGUCUGUAGAAGAGGCCAGGUCCGUCUUUGCUCAUUGAAAAUGAAGGUAAGCAGAUGUUGGAACAGAGAAAUAAUGGUGAAAGGCAAAAGAUGACAUAGACUAGGCCCAAUAGUGGUGCUGCCCAGACUCGGAUAAAUGCAUCUGGUUUGCUUUGAACCAUUAACAAUGGAAAGAUGCCCUCCAGAGCAUAAUGGAACUAUAUAUUCUAUAGUGCUGACUGAGAGAUGAAAAGCAAUAACGAA
Long non-coding RNA from Nicotiana tabacum (common tobacco), 1900 nucleotides. RefSeq lists it as uncharacterized. The record is from RefSeq and is a predicted model, not a curated record. Lineage: Eukaryota; Viridiplantae; Streptophyta; Magnoliopsida; Solanales; Solanaceae.